ACAAGUUGGCUUCCACUUCAAUUCUGAGCAAAGGAUUUUGUAGCAUAAAAACAACAUUCAACACGUGUAUUCGUUAAAAGAAUUACUUCACAAGUCCUCGACGUAUGCCAGAGAGAAUAUCCUCAUUUUGUUUUGUUACGAAAAUAAAUAGAAAGCUCCUUAGGAGUUGAGAGGCUACCUUGAAAGUGGAAAGGUUCGCGCGUUGCCGCUUGUACACCGUGCUCUUGAUAAAUUACAAUAACUCUGAGAUCAAAGUAUCUUUGAAUUAACAUCAAUCUCUGAGGAAAUAGCGAAUUAUCUGCGUCGAAAGCCGACUCCCCGACGUAAUGAGCGAAUUUAUUUGGAAUGAAAAAAUGUUUAUCAGAUCGGAAGAUCUCGCGAUGGCUCCUAUAAGACAGGCCAAAGAUUUUAAUUAACUUCAAGCCUCAAUCAGUGUCUCCCACUUUUAGCGUGAAAUUAUGAGACUAAUCAAGAAUUCUUACAGCCAAAUUUAUUUUUUUGGAUGAUAAUUAUUAACAGGUCUGAAAGCAGUCGUGUUAUGAAAUUAAUAUUCUCCUUUAAGAAAGAAAGGGAAUAAAUUGAUUGGCUAAAUACAAACUACGCCACUACAGACUUCGAUGGUUGCCAAGUGGCCGUCAACUCGUGAACGCGCGCGGCACUGGCGUCCUUGUUCCGCCUGAUGACGGCUGCUUGCUGUCGAAACGGAGCCAGUUUGUCCUCCUGCGGACCAGCUGAGGCUAGGCGACGUUGCACUAACUGCUCCAAUUCGCUAUUCACCACAGCUAUCUAAAAUAAUAUUAGAAGACAAAGUAAACGAAAUACGUCACAACUUCUGGGAAAACCAAAACAUCUAAAUACGAAAGAUCAAUUUCCUAUUCAUUCAUACUGUGGUGUGGGAGUCGAAAACGGAAAAAUGCCAGAGCGUGGGUAGCAUCCUCCAAUUUCUGUCUAUAUACUGAAAUCACGAGCCCCUUUUCAAAUUUAGCUGAUUAAGUAAAUUUACGAUGGAUGCUUUAAAAUAUUUCGUCCCGAACAUCAGGUCUAGGAAAUCAGUUCUAAAAUUUUAAUGUUUAUCGUACUUAG
Plodia interpunctella (Indianmeal moth) is the source of this 1083-nucleotide long non-coding RNA. RefSeq lists it as uncharacterized. The record is from RefSeq and is a predicted model, not a curated record. Lineage: Eukaryota; Metazoa; Arthropoda; Insecta; Lepidoptera; Pyralidae. The transcript has 5 exons.